Molecule: ribosomal RNA, 409 nt
Filed under: uncultured bacterium
Lineage: Bacteria
Description: bacterial SSU rRNA
Rfam family: Bacterial small subunit ribosomal RNA
Source: RNAcentral
AUUGAACGCUGGCGGCGUGCUUAACACAUGCAAGUCGUGCGGUAACAGGCGUAGCAAUACGUGCUGACGAGCGGCGAACGGGUGCGUAAUACAUGGGAAUCUGCCUUUUAGUGGGGAAUAACCCGGCGAAAGCCGGGCUAAUGCCGCAUAAGAUCUUCGGAUGAAAGCGGGGGAUCGUAAGACCUCGCGCUGAUAGAUGAGCCCAUGCCGGAUUAGCUAGUGGUGAGGUAACGGCUCACCAAGGCGACGAUCCGUAGCUGGUCUGAGAGGACGGCCAGCCACACUGGGACUGAGACACGGCCCAGACUCCUACGGGAGGCAGCAGUGGGAAUAUUGGACAAUGGGGAAACCCUGAUCCAGCGACGCCGCGUGUGUGAAGAAGGCCUGCGGGUUGUAAAGCACUUUCGGU